This 344-nucleotide unclassified non-coding RNA is filed under the name Basidiomycota sp. Its description in RNAcentral is "partial contains small subunit ribosomal RNA, internal transcribed spacer 1, and 5.8S ribosomal RNA". The stretch from base 1 to 47 matches the Rfam family "Eukaryotic small subunit ribosomal RNA", at positions 1785 to 1831 of the family's 1831-position model. Lineage: Eukaryota; Fungi; Basidiomycota. The record is from RNAcentral.
AAAGUCGUAACAAGGUUUCCGUAGGUGAACCUGCGGAAGGAUCAUUGACAAAAUCUAAUAACAACAACCCUGUUGAAAUGGAUCUCAGCAGUAGUUGAUGUUGGUUGGUUGGUUGGUUGGUUGGUUGGUUGUGGAUGGUGUGUUGUUCUUACAACCAACAACUACUACUACUACUACUACUACUACUACUACUACAACUACUACUAGCUGGGCAACCCUUUCUUUUCAUUAGCAAUAGUGAAAAGAAAGGCUUUAAUUUUAAUGACUAUUGUGUGAUAUCUAUGCCUAAAGAUGAAACAUCUUAAAUGUUUAAACAACUUUUAACAAUGGAUCUCUUGGCUCUU